This is a long non-coding RNA of Thunnus maccoyii (southern bluefin tuna), 543 nucleotides long. RefSeq lists it as uncharacterized. The record is from RefSeq and is a predicted model, not a curated record. The transcript is spliced from 3 exons. Lineage: Eukaryota; Metazoa; Chordata; Actinopteri; Scombriformes; Scombridae.
CACCUCGCUGUAGGGCAGGUGUUUGACCAGCACAUUUGUUUCUACCAAGACACUCUGCCUGUUUGGUUGACAGAGGCAUGAGGGGGCCCCCGAGGGCUGAUUCACACUAUUACUGUCUCAAAAUGUGGGAAUCCCGCUUAAUUGCGGUACCAUUGCAGUGAUAACCAGUACUAGGAAACCCCCACCAAUAGGCCCCAUCUCAUUCGUGUUUCUUAGACCAGCUUUACAUCCAGCAGGUCCAUCAACUUCCACCUUCUCCAGCACUUUAACAGCAACACCACCACCUGCCCACAAAGAAGACAGAACACUCCCCACCUGUACCACCAGCAGCUCGACCACAACACAAAAAGAACCAUUCCCCCCUCCAAGUCCUGAUCCUGAUGAAUGUGUUCUGGGGAACACAAUGGCAACGGACAUUGGUCAGAAGGGUCCUGUGGGAUUUUCUGCCUGUGGCCCCAUCAGACUCUACAAUUGCCACUGGAUGUAUGUUGCCCAGAUCAACAGCCCUCCUCUCAUAGUGUGCAAAUUCUGGAUUACAAUUAU